RNAcentral lists this ribosomal RNA (1879 nucleotides) under sediment metagenome. RNAcentral's name for it is "bacterial LSU rRNA". It matches the Rfam family "Archaeal large subunit ribosomal RNA", at positions 453 to 2389 of the family's 2987-position model. The record is from RNAcentral.
CUUUCCCUACACGACGCUCUUCCGAUCUGGUGACCGAAAGCUGAAAAGUACCUCAAAAAGGGAGGUGCAAAGGGCCUGAAAUUGGGUGGCGAUGGUGCGGCAGGGCACGAAAGGAUCUUCGAUGCGAAGGAAGACGUCGCGAGGCGUUUGUACGAGCAUCGUCGCCAGUGUUCUGUCUUACGUUUUGAAGAACGGGCCAGAGAGUUUAUUCUAUUGGCGAAGGUUAACCCAAAAGGGGAGCCACAGGGAAACCAACAAGUCCGUAGCAGCAAUGCCUGGGACGACGUAUUAAAAGUGCGUGGAGUCAGUAGGAUAAGACCCGAAGCCGGGUGAUCUAUGCGUGGGCAGGUUGAAGCGUGACGAAAGUUGCGUGGAGGACCGCAAGCCGUAUUGAUAUGCAAAUCAUUGGUGUGACCUGCGUAUAGGAGUGAAAGAUUAAUCGAACCCGGCAUCAGCUGGUUCCUCCCUAAACAUGUCGCAGCAUGACCUAACCGGAGGUCGUUGGUGAGGUAGAGCACUGAUUGGGGGAGCGGGGCGGGAAACUGCUCACCCCCCUGUCAAACUCCAAACUCCCCAACACCCUAGAUGGUUGGAAGUCCGCAUUGCGGGGUAAGCUUGUAAUGCGUAAGGGAAACAACCCAGACCGUGGUUAAUGUCCCUCAAUGUAGGCUAAGUGUAAACACUGAAAUUGGUCCUAGGUCAAAGACAACUGGAAGGUGAGCUCAGAAGCAGCUAUCCUUUAAAAAGUGCGUAACAGCUUACCAGUCAAGAUUUAGGGCGGUGAAAAUGGACGGGGCUAAAGCCUACUACAGAGACCACGGAGCACCGAAAGGUGAUCUGGUAGGGAGGCGCUCUGCAUGGGUAGAAGCUGGGGCGUGAGUUCCAGUGGACCGUGUAGUGUUGAGAAUUCUGGCAAUAGUAGAAGCAUAGAUGGGUGAGAAUCCCAUCCGCCGCAGGGGCUAGGUUUCCUCGGCAAUGUUCGUCAGCCGAGGGUUAGUCGGUCCUAAGGUGCGUCGUAACUCGAACGUACCGACAGGGAAACAGGUUAAUAUUCCUGUACCAUAUGGUUUUUAGCGUAAGCCCUGACGCUUUGGGGUAUGCCCGGCGGGACUGUCGUCCCGUCCAAGCGUAUAAUUCCGUGGAGUACCGUAAUGGUGAGAAUCGGAGGAAAGCGUGAUGGGGUAACCAGGCAAAUUCCCGGAGCCCAUGAAAAGGGAAUCAUAUGUCCGUACCGAGAACCGACACAGGUGCCCCUCGCUGAAGAGGUGAAGGCGUGUCGGAUUUAAUCGUAGUUAAGGGAACUCGGCAAAUUGGCCCCGUAACUUUGGGAUAAGGGGUGCCUGCCUGGAGAUCAGGCAGGUCGCAGUGACCGGGUCGCACUAACUGUCUAAUAACAACAUAGGUGACUGCAACUCCGAAAGGACUAGUAUAGUCACUGAUUCCUGCCCAGUGCGAGUAUCUGAACACCGGGUUCAACCGGACGAAGGACUCGUAAACGGCGGGGGUAACUAUGACCCUCUUAAGGUAGCGUAGUACCUUGUCGCUUAAUUGGCGACUUGCAUGAAUGGAUUAAUGAGUGCGAUACUGUCCCUAACACGAAUCCGUUGAACUUUUUGUCCUAGUGCAGAGACUAGGGACUCCUGAUGGGAAGUGAAGACCCCGUGGAGCUUUACUGCAGCCUGUCGCUGAAUUACGAUAAUCCUUGCGCAGGGUAGAUGGGAGGCGUUAUAUCCGUCGCUUUCGGGUGACGGGGAGCCAACGAUGAGACACCAUCCUAGUUUUGUUGUAGUUCUCACUCUUACGAGGACAACGGUAGGUAGGCAGUUUGGGUGGGGCGCCACACCCUCGAAAAAAUAUCAAGGGUGCCCCAAGGUCAACU